Molecule: long non-coding RNA, 1133 nt
Organism: Saccostrea cuccullata (small rock oyster)
Lineage: Eukaryota; Metazoa; Mollusca; Bivalvia; Ostreida; Ostreidae
Exons: 3
Source: RefSeq, a predicted model, not a curated record
GGUAAGUGGCGAGUGGUUCCUUGUAAUAUGUAUUUAAACACACAAAUAUUGUUGAAUAAUUUAGUGCAUGUGAUGUGUUGUAUAAUAUUUCAAUACUGAAACAGAAGAAACGAUUUGAAUAUGUGUAAAAGGUUUUUGUGCAUACUGUGAUUCAGUCUAGUCCAUGAAGAUCAAACGUACAUACACAGUGAAAUAUUUCUAGGUUUUACAUGUUAAAAUUUAGUAAGCAGAAGACUUAUAAACAAAUGUUUAUUAUCAGUUACUGUUAAAUUUGCAUUGAAUGUUUUGACAUGGUGUAAAUUUUGGAAUUAUACUCUUAAAUAAAGCCUUCAUUGCAUUGUUAUCUUCUAGCUAGAACCUUGAAGCCUGGCAAGGAUUAUGAGACUGGAAACUCCCAUUGAGACCAACAAAUGAAGAGAAAGUUUCAGACUGUUUAACUCGGACUAAGGGAAAAGAAGCAAAUUACAACAAGGAGAAUAUUGCCGAGAAAGCAAAGACAAGUGAAAAGUUGAGUGAAGAAAAAGCAAUCAAGGCUUCACGAUCUGCAACUAGGCCACUGGCGAUGAAGAAGAAAAAUGUACAGCUAAAGAAGAUACAUCAGUGAUCAACUAAAGCUGGGCGACUUAUAUUGGUCAGGAUUGACGAGGUGCAGGGGGGAUAUUAAUUUGGGUCUGUUUAUCUUUCUGUUUGUCAAUCUGUCUGUCUGUAACACUUCGUUCUCUUAACAUUUCCAAAAAUGACAUUUUAUAUUAUAACUCAUUUUGACGAUCCCACUGCAGAACAUGAUUAAUCAUCAAUACAAAUUUAAUAUUGUUUAUAAAUUAAAUAUUACCCUUAUAUAUUUUGAAGUGAAAUGGUCAGAGGUCAAGGCUUCUUUCGGGGGCACAUAUUGUUUUUGUCUGUCUGUUUAUCUGUCUAUUGACAAUUUACCUUUUGCCAUAACUUUUGAAUCAUGAGAGAUAUAGAUACUUCAAAUUGGGUAUGCUUACUCCACUUUCAAAUGAGACCAAGACCAAUGACCUUGACUGUCAUCGUUAUGCUAAAAUAUAGCCUUAUUGAAUCUUUUACUUUUGAACCAUAAGAGGUAGAGAUUUUAUAUUGAGUAUCCAUACUCCACUAAUUAAGUUCUUUCA